CGUGCCCCAUUCAUCAUUUUCCUUGUGAUUUAUUAUUAUUAUUUGUUCUUCUGCCGUCUUCUGUGACUCAGGGUUGGUACCUGAGUGGGUGUGGAAAGACUCAAGAAAAGCCAGUGGCUCCUCUCCACCAGCAGAUGGCGCUGCAUUUAACCGGCGCGGCGGGUUAAAUGUUUAUCGGAGCCUGAGACGGCAGCGCAGGCGCAGUGUGGGGGGUGGGUAGACAGGCAGAGUUGUUCAGCUCGUCGAAUACUUCUUUCUGUUUCAUGCAACCUCAUUCUCUUUCCUGCAGAAAUGUUUGUGGAUGCGUUGAGCAAACUGAAAACCACCCGCACCACUGCUGGCUCAGAUUCCACGUCAAGUUCUAUUCAGAGGUCUAAGAGUCCAAUUCCUAAGUCUCCUGCCACAGUGAAGAGGAAGACCACUGAAGAACCAGCAGCAGAGGGCGAUGAGGGAUCAGCUAAGAAGAGGCGAUCGCUCCAUGAUGUGCGGGAGGACAGACAGCUGGUUCAGCAACCUGGUUGGUGACUAACUUUAAUUUGGCACUAGCCUUGACGUUACACGACCUUAACAAAGUGUCCAAAUGCACUUGCAUGAUUUCGCUUUUGCAUUGGUCCAGUAAUGUCCUGUGAUUGGACGACUGUCUAUCAAAAGUGCAUUUGAACAGACGUUGCACUUCAGAUAAAGCCACACGUUGUACCGUCGCCCCCCUGCUGUUCACCUUCUCAGCCUGUGUGUGUGUGUGUGUGUGUGUGUGUGUGUGUGUGU
Denticeps clupeoides (denticle herring) is the source of this 765-nucleotide long non-coding RNA. The record is from Ensembl. NCBI's taxonomy places the organism in Eukaryota, Metazoa, Chordata, Actinopteri, Clupeiformes, Denticipitidae.